CACUCUGCAAGGCUCCCAGGCAGCCGCCUGCAGCCCUGCCCCCCGCCUUCAGGCUCCUGCCCCCUCCAGCUGUCAGCAGCGCCCAGCCUCCACCCCCACAGCUACUGUUGCCAUGAGAACCCUGCAGGGCAGGCAGGAAGAGUGUGCCAGUGAAGGGGAGGAGGUGGCCAAGCUGGAGGCUCCUCUGCCUGGGAGCCUUGUGGCCCCAGGGUGUUGGGCAGUCACUGCAGUCCCUGAGCAGGUGCUGUGGCCCACAGCAAGCUUAGCCUGGCCCCUUAGCCCACAGCCCAUGAGGUCAGGGCCGGGUUCAGGGGUUCGCCUGGUGUGGGGAUGGGUCGACAGUACGUGAACUUGACAGGAUCACACCAUGGACGGCUAUGUUGGGGUUUCAGUGGGCCCUGCUUUGAACAGUGCAGAAUGGGGUAGGUCCUGCCCUUCAGAGCCAAGGGCAUCAGCUCCCCACCCCUCUGCCAAGCUAGAACGUUCCCAGGCCCAAUGCCUUGGGGAGGGGCUGGCAGAGUGGGACGAGGACAUUACCAGGCAGGUAUGGCAGGUCACGUGCAGGCCUUCCCAGGCUGGCAGGGACCGGAUGCAGGAGUGGCCUCACCCAGAGAGGAUGGCAUCCUGGGGACACAAGAGGCUGCAGGGGCCAUCUGGCCCCAGGUACCCGCCAAGAUUUUGGCAUUGGCAGCCUUGAAGCAGAUAGGGCCUGGGGAGAGGCCAGUGGGGCACAGAGUAGCCCAUCUGCUCCUGCCUCGCCCGACAGGAGAUGCGAAUUCCAAGAUGCCCCUGACCAAUCUCUGCAGCCCAGGCCAGGGUUCGGGCCCCUCCUCUCAGGCAAGUGUGUUGGGGUGACACUGGCGGGACUGGCAGGCUGCUCCGGGCCACAAGACUCCUGCUUAGACACUGAGGUCUGUGUCUUGGGGGUGCUGCAGGGACCCUGUGCUCUGCACAGCCCCAAAUUGGAGCCAGUGCAGCUCAUGAUCCCCAGCUCCACGGUGCAGCCCCCACUGGGUGCGGCCCCUUUAAGUACAGCCCCUUCAGCUGCCAUCAGGGGCAGCACUGAGCAGCCAGGCCAGGAUCCGCGCUGCUGCCUGGAAGCUUCUGCCCGUGCCGGGGACGCAGCAGUGCCGGGGACACAGAGGAGCCGACCUGGGGGUGGCACAGCCCACCGGGGCACAGCCAGAGCAGCACCCAGGUGCUUCUGACCCCGGCAUGGAGGAAGCGCCCGCGUUCUCGGCCCAGG
Molecule: long non-coding RNA, 1246 nt
Filed under: Homo sapiens (human)
Lineage: Eukaryota; Metazoa; Chordata; Mammalia; Primates; Hominidae
Description: HSALNT0156963
Source: RNAcentral